GCAUAAUCAUUUGCCUAUUAAUUGUUGGCUAGUAUGAAAGGAUAAACGAGAAUAGUGCUGUCUCCUUCAAGACCCUAAAAAUUUAUCUUUAAGUGAAGAAGCUUAAAUAUAAUCGCAGGACAAGAAGACCCUAUAGAGCUUUACCUACUCUUCCUAAACUAAAUAGAAAAGUUGGUUCGGUUGGGGCGACCAAGGGAUAUAAAUCACCCUUAUAAAAUCAGACCUACAGGUCUCAUAAAUGAUCCUUACAAAAAGAUCAAUGAAUCAAGCUACCUUAGGGAUAACAGGCUAAUUCUCCUUUAGAGCCCUUAUCAACAGGAGAGG
RNAcentral lists this ribosomal RNA (324 nucleotides) under Psammoryctides albicola. RNAcentral's name for it is "partial 16S ribosomal RNA". It matches the Rfam family "Bacterial large subunit ribosomal RNA", at positions 1959 to 2517 of the family's 2925-position model. Lineage: Eukaryota; Metazoa; Annelida; Clitellata; Tubificida; Naididae. The record is from RNAcentral.